Molecule: ribosomal RNA, 200 nt
Filed under: uncultured bacterium
Lineage: Bacteria
Description: partial 16S ribosomal RNA
Rfam family: Bacterial small subunit ribosomal RNA
Source: RNAcentral
AGCGAACGCUGGCGGCAGGCCUAACACAUGCAAGUCGAACGCACCUUCGGGUGAGUGGCGGACGGGUGAGUAACACGUGGGAACGUACCUUUUGGUUCGGAAUAACGCAGGGAAACUUGUGCUAAUACCGAAUGUGCCCUUCGGGGAAAGGAUUUAUCGCCAUUAGAGCGGCCCGCGUUAGAUUAGCUAGUUGGUGAGGU